UGAGGAAUAUUGGUCAAUGGGCCAGAGCCUGAACCAGCCAAGUCGCGUGAAGGAAGACAGUCCUAAGGAUUGUAAACUUCUUUUAUACGGGAAUAACGGGCGAUACGAGUAUUGCAUUGAAUGUACCGUAAGAAUAAGCAUCGGCUAACUCCGUGCCAGCAGCCGCGGUAAUACGGAGGAUGCGAGCGUUAUCCGGAUUUAUUGGGUUUAAAGGGUGCGUAGGUUGUUCGGUAAGUCAGCGGUGAAACCUGAGCGCUCAACGUUCAGCCUGCCGUUGAAACUGCCGGGCUUGAGUUCAGUGGCGGCAGGCGGAAUUCGUGGUGUAGCGGUGAAAUGCAUAGAUAUCACGAGGAACUCCGAUUGCGAAGGCAGCUUGCCAUACUGCGACUGACACUGAAGCACGAAGGCGUGGGUAUCAAACAGG
RNAcentral lists this ribosomal RNA (424 nucleotides) under Fusobacteriota bacterium. Its description in RNAcentral is "Fusobacteria bacterium partial 16S ribosomal RNA". It matches the Rfam family "Bacterial small subunit ribosomal RNA", at positions 355 to 776 of the family's 1533-position model. The record is from RNAcentral. Lineage: Bacteria; Fusobacteriati; Fusobacteriota.